AGUCAUAUGCUUGUCUCAAAGAUUAAGCCAUGCAUGUCUCAGUACAAGCCAAAUUAAGGUGAAACCGCGAAAGGCUCAUUAAAUCAGUUAUGGUUCCUUAGAUCGUACCCACUUUUACUUGGAUAACUGUGGUAAUUCUAGAGCUAAUACAUGCAAAUAGAGCCCCGACCGGAGACGGAAGGGGUGCUUUUAUUAGAUCAAAACCAAUCGGCGACGGGUCAAACCGUUGUCGUAAUAUUUGGUGACUCUGAAUAACUUUGUGCUGAUCGCACGGUCUAGCACCGGCGACGCAUCUUUCAAAUGUCUGCCUUAUCAACUGUCGAUGGUAGGUUCUGCGCCUACCAUGGUUGUAACGGGUAACGGGGAAUCAGGGUUCGAUUCCGGAGAGGGAGCCUGAGAAACGGCUACCACAUCCAAGGAAGGCAGCAGGCGCGCAAAUUACCCACUCCCGGCACGGGGAGGUAGUGACGAAAAAUAACGAUACGGGACUCAUCCGAGGCCCCGUAAUCGGAAUGAGUACAUUUUAAAAUCCUUAACAAGGAUCAAUUGGAGGGCAAGUCUGGUGCCAGCAGCUGCGGUAAUUCCAGCUCCAAUAGCGUAU
Molecule: ribosomal RNA, 601 nt
Filed under: Ochthebius quadrifoveolatus
Lineage: Eukaryota; Metazoa; Arthropoda; Insecta; Coleoptera; Hydraenidae
Also listed under: 4 other names
Description: SSU rRNA
Rfam family: Eukaryotic small subunit ribosomal RNA
Source: RNAcentral